This 468-nucleotide ribosomal RNA is filed under the name uncultured bacterium. RNAcentral's name for it is "partial 16S ribosomal RNA". It matches the Rfam family "Bacterial small subunit ribosomal RNA", at positions 28 to 507 of the family's 1533-position model. The record is from RNAcentral.
GACGAACGCUGGCGGCGUGCUUAACACAUGCAAGUCGAACGGCAAGGCCCUGCUUUUGUGGGGUGCUCGAGUGGCGAACGGGUGAGUAACACGUGAGUAACCUGCCCUUGACUUUGGGAUAACUUCAGGAAACUGGGGCUAAUACCGGAUAGGAGCUCCUGCUGCAUGGUGGGGGUUGGAAAGUUUCGGCGGUUGGGGAUGGACUCGCGGCUUAUCAGCUUGUUGGUGGGGUAGUGGCUUACCAAGGCUUUGACGGGUAGCCGGCCUGAGAGGGUGACCGGCCACAUUGGGACUGAGAGAGGGACCAGAGGCCUACGGGAGGCAGCGGUGGGGAAUAUUGCACAAUGGGCGGAAGCCGGAUGCAGCAACGCCGGGUGCGGGAUGACGGCCUUCUGGUUGUAAACCGCUUUCGCCUGUGACGAAGCGGGAGUGACGGUAAUGGGUAAAGAAGCACCGGCUAACUACGUG